GCCCCCAUCGUCUAGAGGACCAGGACGCGGCCCUUUCAAGGCCUAAACCGGGGUUCGAAUCCCCGUGGGGGCACCU
RNAcentral lists this transfer RNA (76 nucleotides) under Chloroflexota bacterium. RNAcentral's name for it is "Chloroflexi bacterium (freshwater metagenome) tRNA-Glu". It matches the Rfam family "tRNA". Rfam says of the family: Transfer RNA (tRNA) molecules are approximately 80 nucleotides in length. Their secondary structure includes four short double-helical elements and three loops (D, anti-codon, and T loops). Lineage: Bacteria; Bacillati; Chloroflexota. The record is from RNAcentral.